Molecule: ribosomal RNA, 403 nt
Filed under: bacterium
Lineage: Bacteria
Description: partial 16S ribosomal RNA
Rfam family: Bacterial small subunit ribosomal RNA
Source: RNAcentral
UGGGGAAUAUUGCACAAUGGGGGAAACCCUGAUGCAGCGACGCCGCGUGAACGAAGAAGGUAUUCGUAUCGUAAAGUUCUGUCCUAUGGGAAGAUAAUGACAGUACCAUAGAAGAAAGCUCCGGCUAAAUACGUGCCAGCAGCCGCGGUAAUACGUAUGGAGCGAGCGUUGUCCGGAAUUAUUGGGCGUAAAGGGUACGCAGGCGGUUUAAUAAGUCGAAUGUUAAAGAUCGGGGCUCAACCCCGCAAAGCAUUGGAAACUGAUAAACUUGAGUAGUGGAGAGGAAAGUGGAAUUUCUAGUGUAGUGGUGAAAUACGUAGAUAUUAGGAGGAAUACCAGUAGCGAAGGCGACUUUCUGGACACAAACUGACGCUGAGGUACGAAAGCGUGGGGAGCAAACAGG